AAAGAAAUACCUUACAAAAAAAAGCUUCUAACUUUUUAAAGAGCUCAA
Molecule: transfer RNA, 48 nt
Filed under: Microlyropaeus dembickyi
Lineage: Eukaryota; Metazoa; Arthropoda; Insecta; Coleoptera; Lycidae
Description: partial tRNA-Ser
Source: RNAcentral